Molecule: ribosomal RNA, 443 nt
Filed under: uncultured bacterium
Lineage: Bacteria
Description: partial 16S ribosomal RNA
Rfam family: Bacterial small subunit ribosomal RNA
Source: RNAcentral
CCUACGGGAGGCAGCAGUGGGGAAUAUUGGGCAAUGGAGGAAACUCUGACCCAGCAACGCCGCGUGAAUGAUGAAGGUCUUCGGAUUGUAAAGUUCUUUUCUAAGGGAAGAAGAAAGUGACGGUACCUUAGGAAUAAGCCUCGGCUAACUACGUGCCAGCAGCCGCGGUAAUACGUAGGAGGCGAGCGUUAUCCGGAAUGACUGGGCGUAAAGGGUGCGUAGGUGGUUUGGCAAGUUAGUAGCGUAACUCCAAGGCUCAACCUUGGAACUACUACUAAAACUGUUGGACUUGAGUGCAGGAGGGGCAACCGGAAUGCCUAGUGUAGCGGUGGAAUGCGUAGAUAUUAGGAGGAACACCAGUGGCGAAGGCGGGUUGCUGGACUGUAACUGACACUGAGGCACGAAAGCGUGGGGAGCAAACAGGAUUAGAUACCCCAGUAGUC